This 327-nucleotide unclassified non-coding RNA is filed under the name soil metagenome. Its description in RNAcentral is "partial contains 5.8S ribosomal RNA, internal transcribed spacer 2, and large subunit ribosomal RNA". The stretch from base 1 to 120 matches the Rfam family "5.8S ribosomal RNA", at positions 35 to 154 of the family's 154-position model. The record is from RNAcentral.
GAUGAAGAACGCAGUGAAAUGCGAUAAGUAAUGUGAAUUGCAGAAUUCAGUGAAUCAUCGAAUCUUUGAACGCACAUUGCGCCCCCUGGUAUUCCGGGGGGCAUGCCUGUUCGAGCGUCAUUUCAACCCUCAGCUCUGCUUGGUAUUGAGUCCAUGUCAGCAAUGGCAGGCUCCAAAAUCAGUGGCGGCGCCGCUGGGUCCUGAACGUAGUAAUAUCUCUCGUUACAGGUGCUCGGCGUGCUUCUGCCAAAACCCCAAUUUUUCUAUGGUUGACCUCGGAUCAGGUAGGGAUACCCGCUGAACUUAAGCAUAUCAAUAAGCGGAGGA